This 620-nucleotide long non-coding RNA is filed under the name Chinchilla lanigera (long-tailed chinchilla). RNAcentral's name for it is "lncRNA (ENSCLAG00000025767.1)". Lineage: Eukaryota; Metazoa; Chordata; Mammalia; Rodentia; Chinchillidae. The record is from RNAcentral.
UUUUGACCUUGCUUCUGCCCUUGUAUCUGUACAAAUGACCGGACGCACCAUUUCAUCUCUCCUGGGGGGUCCAACAGCCAAAUGACUUGUCACCCAAACUGCUGCAGUGAUCCAGUGUGGACCUGAUCCCAGCUUCCUCUCUGGCCUGUGAGGCCAGAUAUGCAGGUGUUCCCCAUCCUGCGGGAUAAGGUAAACGGAAAGGUCCCGCAGACUCUAGAGCAGAUGGCCUACCUCUUGCUGAUUGCGGAUGGACUCCUGGAAGUUUGUCCAAUAGCUGAAGUGAGCCAAAAAGUUCCCUUCCUGGGUGUACACCUCCUAGCAGUCCUCUGCUGUCUGACAAAGGAGUGUCCUAACAGUGGCGAGCAGGAGCACUUGCCACGCACAGCGCCGUUCCAGGGCUGGGGCCCAGGCGGAAGAAAGCUGGAGUUUGUGGUUGGAGCAACAUGGUUUGGGGGGAACGGUGCUGAAAACCUGGUCCCCCAAAGCUAUCGGUACUGAGAAGUGGGACCUUCUGGGAGCCUUGUUAUACAAAGCCAACCUUAAGGUAAUGCAUUAAUCUAUGAUUCAGUUUAUUGGGCAUCUGGGGAGUGGCUUUGUUAGUAACGUGGGCUGCCUCUGAG